Molecule: small RNA, 517 nt
Filed under: Pan troglodytes (chimpanzee)
Lineage: Eukaryota; Metazoa; Chordata; Mammalia; Primates; Hominidae
Description: processed transcript
Source: RNAcentral
AGAUACCAUGGAGUAGUUUGAAACAGGAACAAAAUCUUCUGAAAGCUCGGAGCAGAAGCCUUUUUGGUCAACAUGGAGGAAAAAAGACGGCGAGCCCGAGUUCAGGGAGCCUGGGCUGCCCCUGUUAAAAGCCAGGCCAUUGCUCAGCCAGCUACCACUGCUAAGAGCCAUCUCCACCAGAAGCCUGGCCAGACCUGGAAGAACAAAGAGCAUCAUCUCUCUGACAGAGAGUUUGUGUUCAAAGAACCUCAGCAGGUAGUACGUAGAGCUCCUGAGCCACGAGUGAUUGACAGAGAGGGUGUGUAUGAAAUCAGCCUGUCACCCACAGGUGUAUCUAGGGUCUGUUUGUAUCCUGGCUUUGUUGACGUGAAAGAAGCUGACUGGAUAUUGGAACAGCUUUGUCAAGAUGUUCCCUGGAAACAGAGGACCGGCAUCAGAGAGGGCGCUGCAAGCUGGAUGUAGAUGCACCAAGACUGCUGAAGAAGAUUGCAGGAGUUGAUUACGUUUAUUUUGUCCA